AAUAAGUGCAGUUUUACACUAUUCGCGUUCAACGUUUGACUCUUAUUAGAAACUGAUAAAACAUGAAUAGUACUUUAUGUGUGACUAAUUUUUUUAAUUUUUUCAUAAAUUUUUCAAAUAAGACGGACGGUCAAACGUUGGACACGGAUAUCCACAACUGCACUUGUU
Oryza sativa Japonica Group (Japanese rice) is the source of this 168-nucleotide microRNA precursor. It matches the Rfam family "MIR812 microRNA precursor family". Lineage: Eukaryota; Viridiplantae; Streptophyta; Magnoliopsida; Poales; Poaceae. The record is from Rfam.